UGUAAAUGAUAAAAUGUUUUUAUCCUUUCAGAUUUUGAAGAUAUGAGUUGUGAUAUGCUGUAUGGUCAAACACCUCCGCCAUUUGAGGAAGAUCCUGUGUCAAAGCAGCCUUGUUUUGCCAGCAUCUGUUCUUUGGCUAAUCCCAGCACCCCAGUUUGCCAUAAAUUAUACAAUUGAAGUACAUUGAGCUCUUAAAACACCCAAGAUAUGGUGAAGGGAAAAGCAAAAGAAAAAAUCAUCAUUGAAUUACAUUUCAGAAUUAGUUUAAUUUGAGAAGGCCCAGAAUUAGCUCACCUUGAGUUCAGAUCGGCUCAAAUAAUCCGAUUAUUUGUGCUGAGCUAAAUCUGGGUUUAUAGGCUAGCUCGAUCCGAGUCAAAUGCCAGUUUGAUUUUGAUCAAUUUUCACUUCUCUAAUACAUAAUCUUGAUGCAACAUUGGUCCAUGUAAAUGUAUAUUCUUUAUGUAUUUAUGAAGAGAAUUUGUGUACUGUUCACACGCUGA
Molecule: long non-coding RNA, 500 nt
Organism: Dendrobium catenatum
Lineage: Eukaryota; Viridiplantae; Streptophyta; Magnoliopsida; Asparagales; Orchidaceae
Exons: 2
Source: RefSeq, a predicted model, not a curated record